Long non-coding RNA from Gallus gallus (chicken), 7886 nucleotides. RefSeq lists it as uncharacterized. NCBI's taxonomy places the organism in Eukaryota, Metazoa, Chordata, Aves, Galliformes, Phasianidae. The transcript is spliced from 2 exons. The record is from RefSeq and is a predicted model, not a curated record.
UCCUCUCCUCCUUCUCAAUUCCAAAGCUCAGUUAUGAGCUUUAUAGAUGCUUUGAAGAGAGCAAAGCAGCUCUGAGCUUGGUUUUGGAUUGUUCCCGCAGGACAAUAUUGUCCUAAUAAUAUCAUCAGCACAGGGUGACGUCAGAAGGAAGGAACAGGAGGUUCUCCUCUCUCUUAUUCAAACAGGUCUAAAUCACAGCGAUAGGGUUAUUAUUAUUUUUUUUUUUUUGGCAAAGAUUUUUUAGUUGAAACAAAAAAAAAAAAGGGAAUUCAGCUCUCCAGAAAUGCCCUGCAGAUUUGUGUCAGCUUUUGUUGAGCUGCCAGUAAUAAAAGGAAGAGAAAAGAAAAGAAAAAGCACGAGCAUAUAGGAAAGAGGCUGUAGGAAAUGCAUUCAAAAAAGUCUGAAGUUUUCACCUUGGGUUAAAAAAAAGAAAGAGAAAAAAAUAAUUAGCUUAAGAUCUAUUAAAUGUUUUCAAUGUUGCCUCGAUUUUACCUUUUACGAGCGUUUAAAAUCUCUCAAAGUUAAAAAAGAAAAAAAAAGAAAAGUAAUAAAAAAUGGCUUUGUUCCCAGCAGAAACAAAUGCUUUCUUCAGCAAGAUCCUUCCUCCUUAAUUGAUUGAUUCACUUCAAAUUUUAAAAUAAUUGCAUUUCUGGUUGGCUUAAACCUGAACUUGCAGUGAACUAAGCGAGUCACUGAGCUGCUUUAUGAGCUUAAUUAGCUAAUGAAGUGCUUGUUAUCAGCGCCAAAGAUUUCUUUGACGCAAAUUACUAACACCUAGAAAUGUAAAUAACCCCCCAAAAUGAGUUCUGAGAAAAUCACAUUGGCUAAUUUAUUUUAAGCACAACUAAUGGCUUAUAUUGCUUGGCCGGUUAGUAUCGAUUUAUUUUAAGCAGUAAUUAACCACUGUGUGAGUAAGAAAUAUAUUAUCUUUCCCCUGUAAGAAUAUGUAGUCAUAAAGAGGAAUCGAUACUGAUCCAACUAAACCCCACUGUACCGAUAAAUUGCCACUGUUUGCGUGUAUUAUUUAUGCUGUUUCUUGGGUGUCCAAGUACAUAAUAUACAAGCGCAUUUUUAAUUAAAAAGUGAUAAGAUAUCCAGUUAAUUUAUGGGCAGCCGUGAGCCAGUCUGUGAGAGCCUGGUGGGGCGGAAUGGCCGGCUGCUCACAGCUCUCCAGCCCAGCUGUGUGUGCCUCUCCCACGUGACGUGAACACAAAUGGAUCCUUGCUCACUCCCCAAUCACCUGCUGCCACCCAAAAAUGUGCUCCUGGGGCAGGGAGUUGGCCUGGACCUGGUGCAAUGCCCAUGGCUUUAAUGAGGACCAACACCUCCAGGUGAUGCUCAGUGCAGCAUCUCCACUCACCCCUGCAACUCCAUAUAGUCUACUGGGCAACACAGUAUAGCCUAAAAAAGCCUGUACAGUCUAGUGGGCCAGCACCUUGUUGUAGAAUCGUAGAAUCAUUGAGGUUGGAAAAGACCUCUGGGAUCACCAAGUCCAACCCCAACCCACCCCACCAUGCCCACUGACCACAUCCCUCAGUGCCACAUCUCCAUGGUUCUGAGCACCUCCAGGGACAGUGACUCCACCACCUCCCUGAGCAGCCCGUUCCAAAAUAUAUAUCCUUCAAGAGCCCAUAGAACCUAGUAGGCAAGCUCCAUAUACCCUAAAACAGGCUGUCUAAUGACCCAAGCUGUAUAACACUGUCUCAAUCCCUGUUGCCUAUCAACAAGUGUUCUGAAGCACCCAUGUAGGAGCCAUCACCUCUGCUGCUGCUGGGGAGCUCCCCUCUCCUAACAAGAUUUCCCAAGCAAAUCCUCCUUGCCUCCAGCGCUGUUAUUUAUUUUCUUUUUCUUUUUCUUUAGAUAUGGAAUUUGGCUGUUUGAAUCAGAUGGCAUCAGAUGGCUUAAGGUCGUUUUUAUUAUGAUGAUGAUUAUUUUUUUAAGCACGUUAUUUAUUUAUGAUGUUUUUGCUGUGUAUUUUAGCAGGGCGAGGUUUUGCCUGAGGGUCGAGCAUGCAUAGGCUCUAUGCAAUAGCCUUCUACCAGGCAGACACGAUAAGCAGAUGAGCACAAGAGCAAACUCUUGCCACUUAUUUCCCUCUUGAUAUUUUAGUGUUAUGGGAUUAAAGUGUUCAUGGUGGAAUUUUUUUUGUUACUUUCUUCUAUUCCUAGAGCGAACAGGGAUGCACAGUGUUCCUUAAUCUCACAAUGUGUCCCCCAUAACUUACUUUCUACCUACGUCCUCUUGCAAUGUCUACUCACAAGUCCCAGUUCCUGGAACCUCGUGAUUAUUCAGCAAUUUAAGAACUUUUCUUCUUCAACAACAACAAAAUGCUUCUCUUCCUUGUGACUGGAGGGAGCUGCUGGUAUGAAACUCAUCUGUGAAAACAACUAACAUGCAACGUUCUGAAACGCUGUGGUUUUUCCAAAUCCAGUCUUAUGAUUUUUCGUGUUGGCUGAGGAGAGGGGAAAUCUGCCUCGUGAUUUUUGGUUCUUGUUAGCAUUGCUGUCAUGGUUGUUAUGUGUGGGAAUGCGGCUGGUGAAGCUGCACAGCUCAUUUCCCUCUCUCUCCCGAGAUACUGCCUUGGACAGCUUGGAAAUCCCUCAAGAUGAAGCUGUUAUUUUGAGUGUUUUUAUCAGGCUGGAGUUUGGGUCUGCCUGGGAACAUUACUGCUGUAGGGCUGGAAACACCAAGGUCCCCAGCUCAGGUGGGAUGCAGACACACACAUGGCCAAGGCCUUCGUUUGUCCAAAUGACCAAUUACUUAUCAGGCCAGUUCUGCAGCUCUAAUGCAAAGUAUCAGUACAGCAUUGCCUUUCCCUGCAGGACUUUUCAUAAUGAGGAAGGUGAGACUUUGGAAUGAACUGCCCAGGGAAGUUGUGCAUCCCUGUCAUUGGAAAUGUUCAUAGUUGGGCUGGAUGGGACAUCGGGCAACCUGGUCAAGUGGGGGGUGUCCUUGUCCAGGACGAUGGGUUGGAAUGAGGUGGGCUGUGAGGUCUCUUCCAGACCAAACCAUUCUAUGGUUCUGGCACAUGCAGGUGUAUUGAGACAUGGAUCAGGGAGGACACCUCUGUUAGACUCAAGCUUUUGCUUGACCUUUGAACUUCAGGGACAAUCAAAUGAUGUAUCCUAGAAGUGUCAAAGUAUAUCUAAUUAAUACUCUUAUUUUCAUCUACGGGAUUAAUGUUGAUAUCACCUUGCCCAGCAAGGUUGUGGAUGUCUCCUCCCUGGAAGCAUUCAAGGGCAGGCUGGAUGGGGCUCUGAGCAACGUGGUCUAGAGGGAGGUGUCCUUGCCUAUAGCAGGGGGUUGGAACUGGAUGAUCUUACAGGUCCCUUCACCAUUCUAUGAUUCUAUGAUCAUGGGUAAUUAUAGGUAACAUUAAUAAUAUUAUGCCAUGCUAUUAUGCAUGCAUAAAUAGGGUGAGGUAAUUUUACACUUAACCAGAAAUGCAAUGGGAAAAAAAAAAUGUGGCAGUGAUCUAAUGGUUGUGAACAGAAUAUCUAGAACUAUAUUCAGAAACUGACAUUGCUGUGAGGAACAAAUAUCAAACACCAUGAUGUUUCUCUUGAAUAAAGCAAUAAAGGAUCGCAGCAGCAGAAAUUUGUGCAAGUUAACUUGGGAAGUAUGGGGUGAGACAGUCCCACUGUGUCUUCUCUGUUUACCAGCCCUGAUGGCCUGAGACCUUCAGUUGGGAAAACCCUGCCUGGUGAGCGCGGGGAGAAAGGGUGAACUCAUGGGGAUGCCGUGAGCCCUGAGGUCUGGGAUCAAAGGACCAAGCCCUUCCCCAGCAAGAGACUUCACAGACAAAGCAGAGUGGUAGCACAAGUUUGGGAAAUCACUUGGGUGUCAAUGGGGCUGAUUUGCACAGAAUUAAAUUUGUUUCAAUUUUUUUUUUUAAUUGAAACAAGAAAAUAGAAAAAUAUUACCAAUGAGCUUUGAUGACGUUUGGGACUAAACCUAAGCAAAGCCUAACAACAUCCUCCUUUGAAGACGCAGAAGACAUAGGACACGAAUCCCAGUUGGAAAAGACCACGAAGGGUUAAUAGACCUCAUUUACAAUGAGAAACUGAAGGAAAAUGGGAGUACUCAGCAGCUGUGCAGACCAAGCAGGGUCAGCGGUGGAGAUUUUGGGUCAAAGCUGUAAGCACUGAGCUUUGGAGAAAUGAAAUAAAAAGAGAAGUAAAAUCUGGGGAAGUGCUUUUAUCACAAACUCUUGUCCUCAGAAAGCUAUGGCAAUAACAAAUGCGUCCUCCAGCACAUAAAGAAGAAAUAAAGGUUAAAACUGUGUGGAUCGUGUAGCUGUUUUUCUUGUUGUUGGUGGUGGUGUUUUUUUCUUUUUUUAACCUUUUACUUUAAUUGCCAGUUGUGAUGGCAGAGAAAAAAUAUGUAAAAAGCAAGAAUAGCUAAAAAUAGGUCAGAUAAAAGGCAGCAUAUCUAGCCAUAAAUUAUCCAGAGCCCAAUAAAAGCUCAGUGAAUGAGACAGUGGAAUGUGUGGGGGCAUGAAGACAUAAUGAUAUUAAAUUAGAGCUUGCCUUCAAAACUGGAGAGGGUUGUGAAUUACUCUCAUUUAAGAGCCUUGCAGUAAUCGAUAGCGGCUUUCGCUGCCUGUGGACAAAAUCUCAUAAAUUCCCUUUUAUUGCAGGUGUCUGUGCAAGAAGGACGUGUGUGAUGGGGGCUUCGAGGAAGGGGAGUGGUAUGGAUGAAGUGUCCAUGAUCGGGCUGUGCUCCUCCUGCCCCCACUCCCAGGGUGCUCAAUGCUCGCUGUGCUAAUUGCUGUGCCUUUGCACUUAGGAGAUGUGCAGCUCGGCGCUGGAAACAGUUACCCGUCGAGUUCAAGCAGCUGUACUCAUGUGUCACCAGGCAAUGAAACGCCAGCCCCGAGCUGUCAGCUCCACCAUUGAAAUUAAUGGGCCAGACUGUUUACAUUACUGGAAAUCAUCCCAUUUAAAUAUAUAUGUUAUGCUGAAUACGUAACGCAACUGCGAAUUGGCAGUGUGGAGAGAAGGGGAUCAGGUCUGGAGAAGGGAAGUUGGAGGGGGGACAUGACAGGGUGUAAAAGGAGAAAAUCCGGGAGAUUUCCCUCAGGGGAAAGAUAUUAAUUUGAUGAAAGAAGUGUAAGGAAAGACAAAAGUUGAUCAGAUAGCAUUGGAAUGGGAGAGAUAAAGGGGACAAUCAUUAUACGUGUGGAUAAAGGGAUGGAUAGAUAUAUGAGCUCAGUUCAGGAAUAAACUCAGAGUGGGAUCGUAUCAGUGUCCCAAGCACCAGAGGUCACCGGGAUCAAAUAUCUCCAAGGGUCACAGAGCCUUUCAGUGGUAAUGGAGAACUUCAAAACAGAGGAAAACACACAGACUAGGAAGGGAAUCUUUUUCUUUGUUAGUAUUCAGGAAGAGCAGCCUUUUUCUGCAGCAUUUUGAGAGAGAAAAUAAUCAAGAACAUGCUGCUGGAAGAACUGGGAGUGGGCCAGAGAACAUGGGUGUGAGGCAGGGAAUGUUCAGAUGAAGGCAUGGUCUGAGGAGAGGGAUGGAGGCUUCUCAGUUUGAGAUGGAAGAGAGGAGGAGCAGUGAACUGCAGCCUGUGCGGAUGGGAAUCCUGUCCUGGGACAAUGUGGUAGCCCAGAUCCCCUCCUCUGGGUUUGCUGUGAUGGGAAUUUCUUGCCUCCACCAAAAGAUGCCUAUUAGUUUCUUCUUGGAAGUAUCUUGUCUGGGCUCUCAGUGGAGGAGUCACAUCCCACAAGGCUCUGAAGAUCCUGUUGUCAUGGCUUUGUAGGAACUCCAAAGUGAUGCUGGGCUGGAGGUUAUCCAAGGUGACGCUGGGAUGUUUGGGACCUCCAAGCAGACACUGGGCCGGAGAUCCAUCUGGGACUGCUCAGACAGGAGAAGAGAAGGCUCAGGGGAGACCUUAUUGCUUUCUACAACCCCCUGAAGGGAGGUUCUGGUGAAGUGAGUGGUCAGCUUCUUCUCCCAGCUAACAGCUAUAAGAUGAGAGGAAAUGACCUCAAGUUGCACCAGGGAGGUACAGGUUACUAGGAAAUCAGGAAAUAUUUCUCUGAAGGAGUGGUCAGGCACUGGAAUGGGCUGCCCAGGGAGGUGAUUGAGUCACCAGCCCUGGAGGUGCUCAAGAAACGUUCAGAUAUUGCACUGAGGGACACAAUUUAGUGGAGAAAUAUUGGUGGUAGGUGGAUGGUUGGACUGGGUGAUCUUGAAGAUCUUUUCCAACCUUGGUGAUUCUAUGAUUCUAUGAUCCUCCAUGACGACAGUGGUGUGGGGCUACUUCCAAGGUGACACUGGGUUGGAAGUCCUCCAAGCUGACACUGAGCAGUUUAUGAUCUCCAAGGCUCAGGAACCACUCAAGGCUUGGCAGAAACGUGAGUUACUCCACCAAAAGGAGAGCCCUGAAUUUGAUCCAUCAACUACAGCCAAGAACCCUUCCUUCAGAUCUGAUAAAGUCGUCAUUUUGAUGAAAAGAAGUGGAAAGAGGGGUGGAGAUCUCACCCUGAGAACAGAAUCACCAGCUUUCUAACACGAGGUUGAAACCACAGAUAACUCAGAAUUUGUUAAUGACUGCUUAUAAGGGAAAUGACUGUAGCAUUCACUUGUAGCAUUCAACUCCUUGUUUUGUUCUUUCUUUCUUUUAUUUUUUUCCUGGGAGUUGUCAUGUUCACCUGCAUUGCUAUACGGGAGCAAGAAGAAAUGAUUCAGAAGUUAAACACUGCUGUGAAGAGACCAUCAGCCUCACCAGCAUGUGCAAGCUCACAACUCCAGGCACGUGUAAAUGCAUUUAUGCUUUGCAGGAGUUUGUCUGUGCUCCAGGGUGCUGCAAGAAGCAGCCCUGCAAAGGGAGGGUGUGAUGUGAGCAGAUCUCAGCAUUCAAUUGUCAAAUAUUAAUGGGCCAGGAAUGCUGCAGCUGUAAAAUAUGGAAAGAAAAUCAUUCUGUUUUGCAGAAGGACCUUGCCGAGGAUGACUCCACCAGCACAAUCCACCAAUCUAUCACCUCCCAGAAUCCCACAUGAGAAGGUGGGAUAAUUACUAUAAUUUUAAUGUACUCCAAGAUGAUUUAAAUACACUUGGUAACCUAAAAAUAUCCUGCUUUUCCGUGAAAGCUCUGACUUUCUGAGGUAAUGCUGCCCCAGAGCUGCUGAUGGUUCACAUGCCAGCCCCUUCUAUUGCCCCUCUGGGCUCCAUAAACCAUGUCACGGCUGUUUCCCCUUGGCCUCGUGGAAAGUCUUCCUUCUGCAUUUUGCACAUAUCUCUUUUGGAAAAAAAAAGAAAAUACACAUAUGUAUGUAUUUCUCUUGUAGCCUGGAGAUCAGACAGGGAACUACAAAUCCCAUGGCUGUGCUGGAGCCCCAGGAGGACAGAGGAUGGAGAAGAGGACAUUAGAGACAGGGUGGGGACCAGGGAGCCUGGGCCAGAUGAAUGCUUCAGUAUGCUUGGAAGUGUCGGUGAAGCAAAUGGAGUGUUUCUAACACAGUCCUGAGCAUUGAAAAAUAGUGCUUAAAUUGCCUCCAGAACCAACGUGAAAUCUGAAGAUUUGGGAAUAUCUCUUGUGACUGAUUGAGUGACUGAUUGAUUUGCUGAUAUGUGUGCUGUACGUGUGCGUUAGGGCUUGAUUCAGCUGUCCAAACACGGUUUCCUUGAGCCAAGCUGGAUGCUAGAGGCUCCUAGACUCCAGCUCUUGCUUCUGAAUAGCACUCAUCUGCCCUCGAAUGUGUCACUUUGUCAGCCCCGUGGGAUGCCUCAGAUGCACAAGGGCAUCUUGGAUGGCACCAGGCUCUGUGCGUGGGCAGCCGAAUCCCACCCUCUGAGUCAGAAAGAUUGCAUUCUCAAGGUUUUCUCUACAGUCGCUGGGAUCAGAACUUUACCUUCAAAAUAAAUAACAUCCGAAGCCAA